ACAGGGAUUGCCCUAGUAACGGCGAGUGAAGCGGCAACAGCUCAAAUUUGAAAUCUGGCGUCUUCGGCGUCCGAGUUGUAAUUUGCAGAGGGCGCUUUGGCAUUGGCAGCGGUCCAAGUUCCUUGGAACAGGACGUCACAGAGGGUGAGAAUCCCGUACGUGGUCGCUAGCCUUUACCGUGUAAAGCCCCUUCGACGAGUCGAGUUGUUUGGGAAUGCAGCUCUAAAUGGGAGGUAAAUUUCUUCUAAAGCUAAAUACUGGCCAGAGACCGAUAGCGCACAAGUAGAGUGAUCGAAAGAUGAAAAGCACUUUGGAAAGAGAGUUAAAAAGCACGUGAAAUUGUUGAAAGGGAAGCGCUUGCAGCCAGACUUGCCUGUAGUUGCUCAUCCGGGUUUCUACCCGGUGCACUCUUCUAUAGGCAGGCCAGCAUCAGUUUGGGCGGUUGGAUAAAGGUCUCUGUCAUGUACCUCCUUUCGGGGAGAACUUAUAGGGGAGACGACAUGCAACCAGCCCGGACUGAGGUCCGCGCAUCUGCUAGGAUGCUGGCGUAAUGGCUGUAAGCGGCCCGUCUUGAAACACGGACCAAGGAGUCUAACAUCUAUGCGAGUGUUUGGGUGUCAAGCCCGAACGCGUAAUGAAAGUGAACGGAGGUGGGAACCUUUCGGGGUGCACCAUCGACCGAUCCUGAUGUCUUCGGAUGGAUUUGAGUAAGAGCAUAGCUGUUGGGACCCGAAAGAUGGUGAACUAUGCUUGAAUAGGGUGAAGCCAGAGGAAACUCUGGUGGAGGCUCGCAGCGGUUCUGACGUGCAAAUCGAUCGUCAAAUUUGGGCAUAGGGGCGAAAGACUAAUCGAACUAUCUAGUAGCUGGUUCCUGCCGAAGUUUCCCUCAGGAUAGCAGUAACGUUUUCAGUUUUAUGAGGUAAAGCGAAUGAUUAGAGGCCUGGGGGUUGAAACAACCUU
Molecule: ribosomal RNA, 960 nt
Filed under: Ectophoma insulana
Lineage: Eukaryota; Fungi; Ascomycota; Dothideomycetes; Pleosporales; Didymellaceae
Also listed under: 1 other name
Description: partial large subunit ribosomal RNA
Rfam family: Eukaryotic large subunit ribosomal RNA
Source: RNAcentral